Non-coding RNA from Benincasa hispida (wax gourd), 895 nucleotides. The record is from RefSeq and is a predicted model, not a curated record. NCBI's taxonomy places the organism in Eukaryota, Viridiplantae, Streptophyta, Magnoliopsida, Cucurbitales, Cucurbitaceae.
AUAAUUUAGGACAGAUUGAAAGUUGGAGAAGUCGGGGGACCAGGAGAGGACUGGGAGGCUUAGAGGAAAAAAGAAUCCUUGCUAGGUAGCAAAAGGAAAAGAGUUUUGAGGUGUUGCUUGAGGUCAAGGUCAACAACGCUACAUGAUUAUUUCUUUGUCUUAACUAUUUGAGGGUUUUAAGUGGGAUGUUUGUAAGUAUAAAUUGUAUAAACGUUAGAAUUUGUUGUAAUAAAUUAUUUUAAAGUUAAGUAGUCUUCUGGAUUUUAUCACUUAUGAGCAAAACAGGUCAAGACGGGCAGUAAGUACCACAGAAGGGUGGUAUUUGCUGUCUUCACAACUCCUCUUAGGUGAAAGAGAUAAGCCUCAGAAAAGGUGUGACACGAAGCUUCAAGGAAGUGAAAAGAUGAAAAUGCCCUGAGGUGGCGUAGUGCAACCAUACUUCGUGCCACGCACUACAUCCAAAGGCAUAAUGCACCCAAAGGCGUGAGCACCAUGAUGCUCAAAAUUUUGGAGGAAGAAAAUUCCACACACGCGAGCAAUCAAAUGGUGAGUGCACUGCAUGGGGCUCUGCUACACGUAAGGUCGGUGCGGCAAAGGGUCUCAGCCCCGCGGCGCUCUGCGGAUUUUAUAAAUAGUUUCUUCAAAUGUUUUAGGGUUUACAUAUGGGAUUUCAAUGGAGGUUGAAGUCUCUCCCAAAAUUCUUCCUCUUCUUCAUAUUUAUUACCUCUUCGCUUAGGAUUUUUUUAUUUUAUUUUCGGUUGUAACUUAUCGAUUAGAGCUCUCCUCUUCUGUUUGUCUAUAGAUCGAUGAGGUAAGGAUUUUUAUCUAGUUAGGGAGCAAAAACCUUUGUAAUUUCUUGAGAUUUUUAUGGUUGGACUAAAUGUAUAUUAGUGUA